RNAcentral lists this ribosomal RNA (274 nucleotides) under uncultured bacterium. RNAcentral's name for it is "partial 16S ribosomal RNA". It matches the Rfam family "Bacterial small subunit ribosomal RNA", at positions 523 to 796 of the family's 1533-position model. The record is from RNAcentral.
CUACGGAGGGUGCAAACGUUGUUCGGAAUCACUGGGCGUAAAGGGCGCGCAGGCGGUUUGAUUAGUCAGAUGUGAAAGCCCACGGCUUAACCGUGGAAGUGCAUUUGAAACUGUCAGACUUGAGUACCAGAGGGGGUAGUGGAAUUCCCGGUGUAGAGGUGAAAUUCGUAGAUAUCGGGAGGAAUACCGGUGGCGAAGGCGACUACCUGGCUGGAUACUGACGCUGAGGCGCGAAAGCGUGGGGAGCAAACAGGAUUAGAAACCCGAGUAGUCC